UCUGGUUGAUCCCUCUGGAGGUCACCGCUAUUGGAAUCCGAUUAAGCCAUGUCAGUCUAAAGGACUUCGGUCCUUGGCAGACGGCUCAGUAACACGCGGAUAAUCUGCCCUUGGGUGGGGAACAAUCUCGGGAAACUGAGCAUAAUUCCCCAUAGGUAUAGAAUGCUGGAAUGCUUCUAUGCUCAAAGCCCCGGCGCCCAAGGAUGAGUCUGCGGCCUAUCAGGUAGUAGUGGGUGUAAAGGACCCACUAGCCUUUGACGGGUACGGGCCUUGAGAGAGGUCGCCCGGAGAUGGACUCUGAGACACGAGUCCAGGCCCUACGGGGCGCAGCAGGCGCGAAAACUUCGCAAUGGGGGAAACCACAACGAGGGGAUUCCAAGUGCCAUGGCAAUGCUAUGGCUGUUCAUGUGCCUAAAAGCACGUGAAGUAAGGGCUGGGUAAGACGGGUGCCACCCGCCGCGGUAAAACCCGCAGCCCUAGUGGGUGAUCGCUAUUAUUGAGCCUAAAGCGUCCGUAGCCGGUCUGAUAAAUCCUUGGGUAAAUCGGUCAGCUCAACUGCCCGAAGUCCGAGGUGACUGUCAGACUUGGAACCGGAAGAGGUCAGAGGUACUCCGGGGGUAGGGGUGAAAUCCUGUAAUCCUCGGGGGACCACCAGUGGAGAAGGCGUCUGACUAGAACGGAUUCGACGGUAAGGGACGAAGCCCUGGGGCGCAAACCGGAUUAGAUACCCGGGUAGUCCCAGGGUGUAAACGCUGCAGGCUUGGUGUCGGGGGUCCUACGAGGGCACUCGGUGCCGGAGAGAAGUUGUUAAGCCUGCCGCUUGGGGAGUACGGUCGCAAGACUGAAACUUAAAGGAAUUGGCGGGGGAGCACAGCAACGGGAGGAGCGUGCGGUUCAAUUGGAUUCAACGCCGUAAAACUCACCGGGAGCGACGGUUACAUGAAGGUCAAGCUGAUGACUUUACCUGAUUUUCCGAGAGGUGGUGCAUGGCCGCCGUCAGUUCGUACCGUAAGGCGUUCUGUUAAGUCAGAUAACGAACGAGACCCUCACUCUUAAUUGCCAGCCUUCCCUCCGGGGAAGGGGAACAUUAAGAGAACCGCUGGCGCUAAGUCAGAGGAAGGCGAGGUCAACGGUAGGUCAGUAUGCCCCGAAUCUCCCGGGCUACACGCGCGCUACAAAGGACAGGACAAUGGGAUUCAACACCGAAAGGUGAAGGCAACCUCGAAACCUGUCCGUAGUUCGGAUUGAGGGCUGUAACUCGCCCUCAUGAAGCUGGAUUCCGUAGUAAUCGCGGAUCAACAUCCCGCGGUGAAUAUGCCCCUGCUCCUUGCACACACCGCCCGUCAAACCAUCUGAGUUGGGUCUGGAUGAGGGCACUCUUGAUUGGGGUGUUCGAAUCUAGGUUCAGCAAGGAGGGUUAAGUCGUAACAAGGUAGCCGUA
RNAcentral lists this ribosomal RNA (1441 nucleotides) under uncultured archaeon. RNAcentral describes it as "16S ribosomal RNA". It matches the Rfam family "Archaeal small subunit ribosomal RNA". The record is from RNAcentral.